AGUGAACGCUGGCGGCGUGCUUAACACAUGCAAGUCGAACGAGAACGGAUUAUAGCUUGCUAUAAUUGUCAGCUAAGUGGCGCACGGGUGAGUAAUGUAUAGGUAAUAUGCCUCUUACUAAGGGAUAACAAUUGGAAACGAUUGCUAAUACCUUAUAUUCCUUUUAUCAAAAGAUAAAAGGGAAAGAUUAUUGGUAAGAGAUUAGCCUGUAUUGUAUCAGUUAGUUGGUGGGGUAAUGGCCUACCAAGACGAUGACGCAUAACUGGUUUGAGAGGAUGAUCAGUCACACUGGAACUGAGACACGGUCCAGACUCCUACGGGAGGCAGCAGUGGGGAAUAUUGCACAAUGGACGAAAGUCUGAUGCAGCAACGCCGCGUGGAGGAUGACACAUUUCGGUGCGUAAACUCCUUUUAUAUAAGAAGAUAAUGACGGUAUUAUAUGAAUAAGCACCGGCUAACUCCGUGCCAGCAGCCG
Molecule: ribosomal RNA, 475 nt
Filed under: uncultured bacterium
Lineage: Bacteria
Description: bacterial SSU rRNA
Rfam family: Bacterial small subunit ribosomal RNA
Source: RNAcentral